AAUGAACGCUGGCGGCAUGCCUAACACAUGCAAGUCGAACGAAGGCUUCGGCCUUAGUGGCGCACGGGUGCGUAACGCGUGGGAAUCUGCCCCUUGGUUCGGAAUAACAGUUAGAAAUGACUGCUAAUACCGGAUGAUGACGUAAGUCCAAAGAUUUAUCGCCGAGGGAUGAGCCCGCGUAGGAUUAGCUAGUUGGUGUGGUAAGAGCGCACCAAGGCGACGAUCCUUAGCUGGUCUGAGAGGAUGAUCAGCCACACUGGGGCUGAGACACGGCUCAGACUCCUACGGAAGGCAGCAGUGGGGAAUAUUGGACAAUGGGCGAAAGCCUGAUCCAGCAAUGCCGCGUGAGUGAUGAAGGCCUUAGGGUUGUGAAGCUCUUUUACCCGGGAUGAUAAUGACAGUACCGGGAGAAUAAGCUCCGGCUAACUCCGUG
This 433-nucleotide ribosomal RNA is filed under the name uncultured bacterium. Its description in RNAcentral is "partial 16S ribosomal RNA". It matches the Rfam family "Bacterial small subunit ribosomal RNA", at positions 29 to 507 of the family's 1533-position model. The record is from RNAcentral.